AACGAACGCUGGCGGCGUGGAUAAGACAUGCAAGUCGAACGCUGAUUUCAGGGUAGCAAUAUUCUGAAGUCGGAGUGGCGCAAGGGUGCGUAACACGUGGGUAAUUUGCCGUGAAGUUGGGGAUAACUUGCUGAAAGGCGAGCUAAUACCGAAUGUGAUCGCUGAGGGACAUCCCUUUGCGAUCAAAGUUGGGGACCGCAAGGCCUGACGCUUCAUGAGGAGCCCGCGACCUAUCAGCUAGUUGGUGAGGUAAUGGCUCACCAAGGCUAAGACGGGUAGCUGGUCUGAGAGGACGACCAGCCACACUGGAACUGAGACACGGUCCAGACACCUACGGGUGGCAGCAGUCGAGAAUUUUUCACAAUGGGCGAAAGCCUGAUGGAGCGACGCCGCGUGGGGGAUGAAUGGCUUCGGCCCGUAAACCCCUGUCAUUUGCGAACAAACCUUGCUAUUUAAAAGAUGGCGAGCUGAUUGUAGCGAAAGAGGAAGGGACGGCUAACUCUGUGC
This 507-nucleotide ribosomal RNA is filed under the name uncultured bacterium. RNAcentral's name for it is "bacterial SSU rRNA". It matches the Rfam family "Bacterial small subunit ribosomal RNA", at positions 29 to 508 of the family's 1533-position model. The record is from RNAcentral.